RNAcentral lists this ribosomal RNA (512 nucleotides) under uncultured Haliscomenobacter sp. RNAcentral describes it as "bacterial SSU rRNA". It matches the Rfam family "Bacterial small subunit ribosomal RNA", at positions 9 to 521 of the family's 1533-position model. RNAcentral also lists the same sequence under 1 other name. Lineage: Bacteria; Pseudomonadati; Bacteroidota; Saprospiria; Saprospirales; Haliscomenobacteraceae. The record is from RNAcentral.
GAGUUUGAUCUUGGCUCAGGAUGAACGCUAGCUGGAGGCUUAAUACAUGCAAGUCGAGCGGGAUUGGGUAGCAAUACCCAUGAGAGCGGCGCACGGGUGAGUAACGCGUACACGACCUACCUUUGACUGGGGGAUAGCCCUGGGAAACUGGGAUUAAUACCGCAUAUAAUUCUGAUUAAUAAAGGAUUGGAAUGAAAGUUCAGGCGGUCAGAGAUGGGUGUGCGUCUGAUUAGCUAGUUGGUGAGGUAACGGCUCACCAAGGCGAUGAUCAGUAGGGGGCGUGAGAGCGUGGUCCCCCACACGGGUACUGAGACACGGACCCGACUCCUACGGGAGGCAGCAGUAAGGAAUAUUGGUCAAUGGGGGAAACCCUGAACCAGCCAUCCAGCGUGCAGGAAGAAGGCCCUAUGGGUUGUAAACUGCUUUUGUCAGGGAAUAAACCUGUGGAUUUAUCCGCAGCUGAAGGUACCUGAAGAAUAAGCACCGGCUAACUCCGUGCCAGCCGCCGCUGU